Molecule: RNA transcript, 4343 nt
Organism: Anopheles coluzzii
Lineage: Eukaryota; Metazoa; Arthropoda; Insecta; Diptera; Culicidae
Gene: Hrb87F
Gene name: heterogeneous nuclear ribonucleoprotein 87F
Exons: 4
Source: RefSeq, a predicted model, not a curated record
CCGGGUCUGCGCUUGGCACUGCACAUUUGGUUGAAAAAGUUCGAGGCGUGUGGCUGUACAUCCGCGUGAAGUGGGCUGAUAAUUUUACUUUCCCAGUGUGAAAAAGCACGAAAUUGGUGAAUUUUGUGCCUUUGCUGCGUGCGUGAGUGGUAGAAGGUUGGAAAUUACCGGUGCUGUCUAGUGGAAGUUUGUGUGAAUUAGGUUUUUGAAGCGCAUCGCUUGAAUCAUGAGUGAAAAGCAGGACCCACAAAAUGGCGAUCACCAGAACGGCCGCAACGAUGAUGAUGAGAUUCGCGAACCGGAACAUCUGCGUAAGCUGUUCAUCGGCGGUCUCGACUACCGCACCACGGACGAUACGCUGAAGGCGUACUUCGAGAAAUGGGGCAAGGUGGUGGAUGUGGUCGUCAUGAAGGACCCGAAAACGAAGCGUAGCCGCGGGUUCGGGUUCAUCACCUACUCGAAAUCGUACAUGAUUGACGACGCGCAGGCAAGCCGGCCGCACAAGAUCGAUGGGCGCGUGGUCGAGCCGAAGCGGGCCGUUCCGCGACAGGACAUCAACCGUCCGGAGGCCGGCUCGUCGGUGAAGAAGCUGUUCGUCGGCGGUCUGCGCGAUGACUUCGACGAGGAGCAUCUGCGUGAGUACUUCUCCAAGUACGGCAACGUUAUUUCGGCCUGCAUUGUUACAGAUAAGGAUAACGGCAAGAAGCGUGGCUUCGGUUUCGUCGAGUUCGACGAUUACGAUCCGGUGGACAAAAUCAUCUUGCAAAAAAGCCACACCAUCCAGAACAAGCUGCUGGAUGUGAAGAAAGCACUGCCAAAGCAAGAUAUGGACCGGUACAAGAACGACAUGGGUCGUACCGGUGGUGGUGGCGGUGGCGGCGGUGGUGGCGGUGCCUGGGGCAACCAGCGCGGCAGCGGUGGUGGCGGCUGGAACAGCCAGCGCGGUAGUGGUGGUGGUGGUGGUGGCGGCUGGGGUAACCAGCGCGGUGGUGCGGCGAACGAUUGGAACAGCGGUGGGUUCAAUAAUGGUGGCGGUUUCAAUAACGGUGGCUUCAACAAUGGCGGCAACAACUGGAACAACGGUGGCGGCAAUCCGUGGGACAAUGGGUGCGGUUCGCAGGGUCAGGGCGGCUGGGGCAACAACGGUGGCAAUUGGGGCGGCAACAGUGGUGGCGGUGGUGGCGGAUGGGGUGGCAAUGAGUUCGGAAAUAACUACCAGCAAGGAUACAACGCCGGUCCGGUGCGCGCCGGGGGCAAUUUCAACCAGCGAGCGGCACCCUACGGUACCGACGGUAGCUAUUAUGGCACGUACUAGUCGAUAGCUAACCGAUUAACUUGCGUUUCCAGGCAACCAAGGGGCUGGUCGCAGCGGAAGGUACGGCACUAGCCGUAUGCAUUAACUUUGACGAGAAGAGAGAGAGAGAGAGAGAGAAAAAGAAAGGGUGGAUGAUGUCCCGUAAGAUUGAAUAAGUAAGAAUGCCUAUGCUCACUUUGCCUAUCAACUUCAAACUGUCUAUUUCUCGUUGUGCAUAUGCUGAAGCCAAAAUAACUGCUCUUACCACAUGUUUCUUGCGUCUUGUGCCGGGUUCACAUACACCGCAUCGCGUACACGAACGUGUGUGCGAUAGCGAUCGUUAACGAACUCUCUCCGACAACCACCGUUCGCUCGCUCACCACCGUGUUCUGUCUUCUAACCACGCCAUACACCUGUCCACUGUUGUUGACCGCCCCCCAUACCCCCUCCACCCUCAGCCGCCGAUCGCACAAGUCGCUAACGCAAUGUGUCCCCAGUUGUAUCUUUGUGCGUCCCAUCGUCUCUUUCCCAUCCACAGCACAGCCACCACACACAAGCAAGUGCAACGCGCGGCUCUUCAAAGGUACAAAGCAAAGUUUUAGAAAGAGGCUAGAGCAAAAAAAGAAAAAAAGGUACAUUACAUACUCAGUCACAGUGAGCAAAACAAAACCUUACUCAGGCAGAGGCACAGUGUGUGCGUGUGUUUGGGAUGUCAGAGUAUGCAUGACAAAAAAAAACAGAGAACAGACGUGCAUUACCGUAUAAAAGGGAUCGAUGGGAGAGGACAGUCAUUCGAAAAGUGUGGAGGUUCAAUCGAUAGGAGCUUCUUCACCCAAGCCAGCACAUUAACAACAGGAAGGAGAGUGCAGGAGGGCGCGCGUGCACACACAAACACACAGGCGAGAUGAAGGACAGUGACGAGAGAGAUAUAUUGAGUAGUGGAGAAGGUACCUACGCGCAUUCAUUUGCCAGGAUCUCAGCUCCACCUUGCUCUAUAGACUAGUCCGCAUUAACCCAGCAAACAUCAGGCGCGCGCAACCCUUCCCUCGUCAGAGUUUGAGCGGUUUUCUUCAGAUCGACGUACAAAAGCAUAUGUCUAAUGUGUAUGAGUGGUUAGAGCUGUCGCAUCCAUCCCAGGAAAGCAGCUGCAUUAUCCGCAGCACCACACAACAGGAAAGCAGUCGACUUAGAGGCACAUUGAGUGAAGCAUAUGACAGUGAUAGAGAGAUACACAUGAGAACAGCAUUUGAACAACUUCAUUGCUUGCUUAACGGCUUAAGUUUUGCCCCGGUGGUGGUCACCGACAUCGUUGCUCUAGUAUGUGUUCCCUUUCCUCCUAUUUCUCGUCUUACCGGGCAGUGGUGGUUUUACAAGAUCGGAUGAGAAUGAGUCGUUAAGAGAAGAAGUAUAUAGACAACAACGCAGGUCUCUCAUUUUAUACGAACACUGCUGUAGAAAGGCGGAAAUAAAAGUCUUAGCGCGUUUUAGCGUUUGACCUUUUUGAGUGUAGCGCUACAACUGACUUGGAUGAAAAAUAUAUCCCCUGCGAGUAAAAUUUGAGUAAAACAUACAAAAACAGGAAAAGAAGAAAUAUACCGAUGAGCAGCAGGAAAACAAAUCUUAAAAACAUACAACACACCAACACAAAAUGGCUCGGUGGUGGUGUGUGUAAAUCUCUCAACUACCUUCAUUGUUGGUGUACAAGCACAGUAACAACCCUUGUGUUUGCUAUGAAACGGAUAGCAAGUAUAUUAUAUUUAUUAACUAUAAAUGUAUAGAUGUAUGGAAGUAUAAACUAGACUAGAGUUUAAGACCAGGGAUUGCUCGGUAAGCGAAGUUUGAUUUACACUACAAAAGAAUUUAACCAGUUUUAUACAUAGCCAUCCCCACAUAAAUACACAAACUCUGACACACUUUCACAGCUAACAAUCGUACAUCAGCUUCUUGUCGUUCAAAGACACAGAUGGUUGUUUUUCAUUUCAAAUAGGAAACAAAAGAGAAAAAUGCAACUCGCUUUGAUUUUCAAAGCGACGGUAAAAAAAAUUAGAACAAUCGAAAAAGUUCAGUUAUAAAAACAAACACAAAAGAUAUAGCGCAAGAGUAGACAAGUAUAAAGUACUAAUUUAGGAAAUGAUGAGAAAGGAAAAAAGGAGAAAUCGUCCAUAAAAACAACAUGACUAGGAAGUUGAGACAACAGGAACGAAAAUCGUAAAAAUGAUACAGAGCGUAUAUCGUGUACACUGAACACACAGACCACAAGCAGAGUUAUUCAUACAUAUUUGAUUGUAUAUAGAUUGACGUUUGUCUUUUUCGUAAGGUAUAAAAUGAUUUUUUUUAAAUAUCAUUGAGUUCUCCAUCGUCGCACUGCUCGCAAUAGAUGAGUUUUAGUACACUACUUUGGUUCGAUUAAAAUGGUAUGGAUAUAUAGACUAGCGCCGCUCUAAAGCAAAUAAAAAGCAAUAGGAAAAAAUGAUAGGUUUCGGUUGUGUUAUGUAGCAGCAAUUAUCGUUUUCUAACGUAUCAAUAGUAAACCAAUUUCUUACGUCGAGGAAUCACUCUUAUUAGAUUCAUAAUGAUAACAUUUGAGUGUUCCUGAUCAUAUCGAUCUUGGUUCGGUCACAAGGAUCCUCUUCUCGUAAUUGAUUUGAUCACAGUAACUGAAAUAGAUGUCCCUGCAAGAUAGGAAGAAUGCUUUCCGCCGUUAAUUAAUGUAUGAAUUAUUGAAAUACACUCACGUGUACCGUUUCAAAUUAGGUUUUGUUCGAUAGAGAUACCACACAACAUAAUAACCUUGCUAAAACCACCCCCUGUGCCCCGUUUAUUUUAGUUUUUUUUUUUUGGUACAACGACAUAUUCACGUGUAUAACCUACCAACCCCCCUAAUAAUUAUAAUAAUUAUCUCCGGUGCGAGAGGAGAAAGAGGGAACACAAAACAAAACAAAUACAAAAACGAAACCAAGCUAUAGCUGGAGAAGAAGCAUCUUUUGAGAGUAAGAUCAUGUCGCAGUAAAACAAAAAUAAAUUAGAAAAGAGUAUAGAAUCGUCCGUA